CUUUGACACCUGGCUAUCUUUUAUCUUGAAAUGCAUGCAUCGAAUCCACAUCGAACGUGCAACUCUUCACGAAUCGUCCACCAAGAGCAAGUCAAAUUGCAGAAGAUCAAAGAACUGACGAACAUCUUAAAGGACACGGACAAAAAUCUCACAACAUGCGAAGAAAUUCUAGCUACUUAUAUAAAGAAACGAUUGAAGG
Molecule: long non-coding RNA, 199 nt
Organism: Pseudomyrmex gracilis
Lineage: Eukaryota; Metazoa; Arthropoda; Insecta; Hymenoptera; Formicidae
Exons: 2
Source: RefSeq, a predicted model, not a curated record